GCCAAGUGGAAUGGAGGAAUGUUCCUUCAUCUGAGCCACAUCUAAAACAUAGGGAGGAGAUAUCUGGGUUGAACCUGUGCAGUCUAGAUGGGGUGAUAUAGAGCUGAUGGAGGAAAUUAAACUGGAUCAGUCUGUAUCUGGAGUUCAAUGUGGAUGUAACCCCAUCCCUGCACAGGUCACUCCAUAGAUCCUCAUCAAGAUCAAUACCCAGAUCUUUCUCCCAUCUAAGUCGGGGUUUAUCUAGCCCAGGCAGUGUUAGUCCUGACAUAAGAGCAUUGUAAACACGGGAAAUGGUCUUGAACAGUGGUUGGUCUGCGUGGCAGAGUUGUUCAAUAGGUGACAUCUUAGGUAGGUUCCAUUGUCCCUUGAGAGUCACCCUAAUAAAGUUUCGUAGUUGUAGGUAGCUAAAGAAGUCCCUGUUAGGCAAGUGGUAUUUCUGUUUCAGCUGAUCAAAAGACAUAAGAACUCCCUCCUCGUAACAAUGUUCCAGAAGAGUGAUCCCCUUAUCAGACCGACAACACUCAUCUUGAUGGAGAUGUGCUUUUGCUGAGUCUCUGUGGUGGCUACAGUCUGUUCCAAACUGACAUGGUACCCCUGUGCGUGCUUAGGCUUGAUGCUGGUGUGUGUGUGCUUAGGCUUGAUGCUGGUGUGUGUGUGUGUGUGCGUGCGCUCUCGCUCAGGCUUGAUCCCAGUGUCACCGUGACGGGUUCUGAUCUUGACUGACAGCCCACCGGCCCCUAUCUACCUCACAAGGGUCCUUGAUGUGAGGGCUAGUCUCUGUUUCCUCCACGGCCCCCAUCACGCGGAGAGAGAGAGGAGGAAUCGAAACCCAGAGAGUAAUUUCUCUUUGACAGGCAAGCCAAAUCAUCACAUUGUGAGUUGACAUACAGACAGACAGCGUGCAGAAUACAGACAGACAGGUUUCUCCUCCACCCCACCAACCCUGUCUGUUUAUUCUCAGGUCUAUUACAAUAGGAGCAGGUAACAUGUCAAUUAUAAUACUGUGUGUCAACACUGGCCUGUAAUUUUGACUGCAACUGUGCUGUCUUGUCCAAUAUUUAUUUUCAUGUCAUGAUCUAGGACAUGAUUUGAAAUAACACUUUUCUUUCAAUUGCCAUAGUUACACCAUUUGGCCUGCGAUGCUUAAAAGCAAUGAAGGCUCUUCCAUUCGUGACCGGUUGGACACAGUCACACAUUGACCAUCUUUCAUCAGUGGAACGCCUAUGUAACCUGAGAUAGAUCCCAUGUGUAGUGAUGAAGACUCCGAGAGAGAUUCAGUGUGUGAUGGUUCUGUGAGUGGGAGAUUCAGUGUGUGAUGGUUCUGUGAGUGGGAGAUUCAGUGUGUGAUGGUUCUGUGAGUGGGAGAUUCAGUGUGUGAUGGUUCUGUGAGUGGGAGAUUCAGUGUGUGAUGGUUCUGUGAGUGGGAGUGUUGUAUCAGCCUUUCAUUCACUGGGUCUGACUAUGUCUCCUGCUAGGCUCUGCAGAGCCCCUCUCCUUCCAGUAAGUGAGAACGGUCUCCGGUACGGUGUCUAUUUGUUGAGGCGGUCUGAAAAUGGACACCGUACUCAAGGUCUGCGGGGAGGUGCUCUGUUACCCUGCAACACUCUUCUGAAGAUGGAGAGAGACUUCAGACGUGGCUAGACUUUAGUGUGGGAGGCAAAAGAGGCAGUUUUCAAGUAAUCAAGCAAGAAAAUAGCUUGGCGGAGGUCCAGAGGUGUCAAAAGCCCCAAAGUACAACGGAGACUACCAUUACUGUUUCCUGUGUUCAGCGUUUACACCCCUGAAUUAUGCCGUUGUUCUCUGCAGAGGAACAAAUGAUGUGGUGCUGAAUGCUGUGUAUGGAGGAUUGACAGGGGUGUCCUGUACAGAUGAGCAAUACCAGUGGAACUCGGGGGACGCAGCGGAAUUUAGCUCCAAAAAGGUUGAGCGAGAUCUGUUUCAAACGUCACAAACCAAGUGACGAGUUCUCUGACAGCACCACAGCCGCUUCUCCACCUCUACCUCCAACUCCUGCAUACCACUCCCACAACGCACUUAAACGUUUGAAAGGAGCCAAUGUUCCAGUGUGGAGCUUUCUACACAAGUGCAUCAAAGCUUAACCAAACAGUCAUUAGGUUCCAGCAGCAGCUACAACAGCCUUAUGGUGAACAUGGCAUCAACAUGCAGUGUCAGAAAUGCUUGUCAUAUUAUGACAUCUAUGUUAAGCUGGAGGAGUGUAAAUGUGCCAGCUUGGAGGAGGUCACUAAAGCACAGAGUGCCUCCCAUGCAUUGUAUGACGCGCGUUAGCUUUGGAUCACUGCUAGCUCAGCAAAGAAGGUUCCUGUGCGCACCUCAACAAAUCCCGACUUCGUUGUGCGGGAGAAUCUCUUCCCCCGGGUUCCGCAACCACAUAUAGCAAAGAGAACGAGCAGGUGGCCUACACAUGGAUGGAGAGCUGAGGGUUUAGUCUGGAGAGUGGAGGCACAAUAGUGAGUGUCAAGGAGCCAUGUUUUUUUUCUGCAAGCCCAGAUCGAGUGUUUAAACUCUCAAGAACUAUUAGAAAUCAAAUGUCCCCUUCUGAUUAAGAAGUGUGAGUCUCUGACUGAAAUGUUCUCUGGCAAACUCACCGAUGUGAAGCUGGUGCAUGGGGUUACUCAACCUAAUGGAGCCCGUGGGUACUACAUGCAGGUGCAAAUGGGCAUGUUCUGCACAGGACUGGAGAGAUGUGCUAGCAGUUGAUGUUAUUCUUCAAUAACACAGACCCCAAAGCAAAUCAGGGGGAGAAAAAUAUAUUUAUUUAAAGAGAACAAAUCAUAGUUGAAAGUAGAUGGUAGAUGUUUAUUCUUCCCUGUCCUCAAUGUUUCUCCUCUGAACAAAGAGACUGGAUGGAGUUUAUAACCCAACCCUAGCCCGUGGUUGACCAAUUAGAAUGUCUUGCAAUAAAACUGGGCCAAUGGCCAAAUAACAAAUAUCCUGUUUCAGGCUCAAUGUUUAGACAAUUCGGACCAAUGAGAACUUGACACAUGUAGCUAUGAGUCCCAGACUGAAAUUCCUCCCGUGUCCCUGACCCAUUAAUCUUCAGUUCCCCAUUAGAGAAAAACAACUAUUUCCAUUGAUAAUGAAUUCCCUCUUGACCUUUAGUCCUCUGAGUUGUGUAUUUAUCUUUGAAUAUUCGUACAGAUGCAAACUGCUUGUCUGGGCUCCAUCCGAGCAGGUUGUUAUUGAUGUGCCUUUUGAUGUGAAGUUCUGUGCUGAUCUUAUCCCUAAACUAAAGACAUUCUAUUUCACACACAUGCUGCCAAGGAUAGUAGAUGAGUUCCAGUCAGGCAGACCAACCCUGUGCUCCAAAUAUGUUCAUCUAUGUGGUAUCUAGGGGUCUUAUACUUCUCAGUUUUUAAAUGGUUCAUAUAUUUUGUGUCUUGUAAAGCUCUGUCAGCUCUACCUUAUUAUCUAAGCAUAACUCUUGAUUGGUGUUUUUGUCUGUCACAGUUCACCUUCAUAUGCACAUUUACCUGAUUUUAUAUUUGCAUAAUUCUUGUUUUUUUAUAUCUUGCCUUGUACAGCUCUCUUCAUACUUGUUUAUCUAAUGCCUACGGAUAAUGAUUUAUGAAUGUUUUUAUUGUCCCUUGUAUAACUCUCUUUUCAUAUGGCACUUUAUGAAUUUAUCUCAGCAUAUCAUAAUUCAUCUUGCACUUGGCAAAUGAUGGUGUUAAUAAAACCACUAUGAAAUUCAA
Oncorhynchus nerka (sockeye salmon) is the source of this 3713-nucleotide long non-coding RNA. RefSeq lists it as uncharacterized. The transcript is spliced from 3 exons. The record is from RefSeq and is a predicted model, not a curated record. Lineage: Eukaryota; Metazoa; Chordata; Actinopteri; Salmoniformes; Salmonidae.